Molecule: non-coding RNA, 112 nt
Organism: Acanthosepion pharaonis
Lineage: Eukaryota; Metazoa; Mollusca; Cephalopoda; Sepiida; Sepiidae
Source: the annotation of a GenBank genome assembly
UUACGAUCACACCACGUUGAAACACCAGUUUCCGUACGAUCACCAAAGUUAAGCAACGUCGAGCCUGGUUGGUAUCUAAAUGAGUGACCGCUUAGAAAUACCACGUGCUAUA